CCUACGGGGGGCAGCAGUGGGGAAUAUUGCACAAUGGGGGAAACCCUGAUGCAGCGACGCCGCGUGAGUGAAGAAGUAAUUCGUUUUGUAAAGCGCUAUCAGCAGGGAAGAAAAUGACGGUACCUGAGUAAGUAGCCCCGGCUAACUACGUGCCAGCAGCCGCGGUAAUACGUAGGGGGCAAGCGUUAUCCGGAUUUACUGGGUGUAAAGGGAGCGUAGACGGCAGUGCAAGUCUGGAGUGAAAGGCCGGGGCUCAACCCCCGGACUGCACUGGAAACUGUACGGCUGGAGUGCAGGAGAGGUAAGUGGAAUUCCUAGUGUAGCGGUGAAAUGCGUAGAUAUUAGGAGGAACACCAGUGGCGAAGGCGACUUACUGGACUGUAACUGACGUUGAGGCUCGAAAGCGUGGGGAGCAAACAGGAUUAGAUACCCGUGUAGUC
This 440-nucleotide ribosomal RNA is filed under the name uncultured bacterium. Its description in RNAcentral is "partial 16S ribosomal RNA". It matches the Rfam family "Bacterial small subunit ribosomal RNA", at positions 338 to 795 of the family's 1533-position model. The record is from RNAcentral.